Molecule: ribosomal RNA, 507 nt
Filed under: uncultured bacterium
Lineage: Bacteria
Description: bacterial SSU rRNA
Rfam family: Bacterial small subunit ribosomal RNA
Source: RNAcentral
UGGCUCAGGAUGAACGCUAGCUACAGGCUUAACACAUGCAAGUCGAGGGGCAGCAUGUGGUGCUGCAACCAAUGAUGGCGACCGGCGCACGGGUGAGUAACGCGUAUCCAACCUUCCCCUUAGUAGAGGAUAGCCCGGCGAAAGUCGGAUUAAUACUCUAUGUUCUUCAAUGCGGACAUCUAAGUUGAAGCAAAGAUUUAUCGCUAAGGGAUGGGGAUGCGUCUGAUUAGGUUGCAGGCGGGGUAACGGCCCACCUGGCCUACGAUCAGUAGGGGUUCUGAGAGGAAGGUCCCCCACACUGGUACUGAGACACGGACCAGACUCCUACGGGAGGCAGCAGUGAGGAAUAUUGGUCAAUGGGCGCGAGCCUGAACCAGCCAAGUAGCGUGCAAGGACGACUGCCCUAUGGGUUGUAAACUGCUUUUAUCAGGGAAUAAAGUGAGGCACGCGUGCCUUUUUGUAUGUACCUGGUGAAUAAGGACCGGCUAAUUCCGUGCCAGCAGCAGC